Dendroctonus ponderosae (mountain pine beetle) is the source of this 709-nucleotide long non-coding RNA. RefSeq lists it as uncharacterized. The record is from RefSeq and is a predicted model, not a curated record. Lineage: Eukaryota; Metazoa; Arthropoda; Insecta; Coleoptera; Curculionidae. The transcript is spliced from 2 exons.
UUGAACACAAAUGACAACUUUGAACCUGCACCGAAAAUUUCCAAUAUGGAUAUGGAAAUAGAAGUAACAAAACAGCAAACAUCAACAGCUGAUAAAAAGAAUGCUGCAACCCAAACAUCUUUUGGACUUAGUGCAGAUAAUGGGCUAAGAAAGAAAAUAAGAGCGUUGAAACAAGUAGUAAGAAGAAGAAAUUGCAAAAUUUCUUCGAUGUCUCAACUAUUAAGUCGAAUGAAUAAAUCAGGCCUUUGUACAGAUGACUUAACGUCUGUUCUGCAGCAGAACUUUGGUAGUAUGCCACUUGAACUCGCUGUUAACCAAAAAAAUAAUGAGGGUCUUGAGCCAAGGCAAAGAAGAUAUACGGAAAUAAUGAAGCAUAAUUAUUGCAGUACAGAUGAUAGCCAUAGGUUUUUAAACUUAGUAAAUAGARGCGGUUUAAUUUGUGCUUCAGAAAUAGUAAAUACUAUUGUUUGUUAUUCAKAAAAGCAAUUUAAGAUAACAUUUCCAAACGGCAUAAAUUGCUACAAGAAGCCCAAACAAAUUAUUUUAAAUAAUGUAAUUCGACAUUUUUCGGAAAAAUUGCAUCUUUUUAGACCAACUCAUCCGAUUAUUGAAGAAUUUGGUGUUGAAGAUCUGCACGAAAUUCAAUUAAUUAAAGAAAUUGUUAACUAUUAUUUAACAUGUAGAUGCCAUUAUUAUGCUAGGCAAGAAA